CGCUUCUGCCCCUCCUGGGCGUUUCCUCCCUAUCUCUGGGCCCGGCGGCUGCGUCGGGCCUUUUUUUCUGUCCCG
RNAcentral lists this small RNA (75 nucleotides) under Caulobacter henricii. RNAcentral describes it as "Makes More Granules Regulator RNA (mmgR)". It matches the Rfam family "Makes More Granules Regulator RNA (mmgR)". Rfam says of the family: SuhB later renamed mmgR (makes more granules regulator) was a putative non-coding RNA found multiple times in the Agrobacterium tumefaciens genome and related alpha-proteobacteria. Other non-coding RNAs uncovered in the same analysis include: speF, ybhL, metA, and serC. The record is from Rfam by way of RNAcentral. Lineage: Bacteria; Pseudomonadati; Pseudomonadota; Alphaproteobacteria; Caulobacterales; Caulobacteraceae.